CGUUGUCCUCAGGGCGGGGUGAAAGUCCCCACCGGCGGUAUCCCGGGCAACCGGGGAGCCCGCGAGCGCUCCCGGCCGUCAUUGGCCGGGGGGUCAGCAGACCUGGUGCGAAGCCAGGGCCGACGGUUACAGUCCGGAUGGAAGAGGAGGAGA
Non-coding RNA from Desulfovibrio sp. DV, 153 nucleotides. The record is from Rfam. Lineage: Bacteria; Pseudomonadati; Thermodesulfobacteriota; Desulfovibrionia; Desulfovibrionales; Desulfovibrionaceae.